RNAcentral lists this ribosomal RNA (268 nucleotides) under uncultured bacterium. RNAcentral describes it as "partial 16S ribosomal RNA". It matches the Rfam family "Bacterial small subunit ribosomal RNA", at positions 57 to 305 of the family's 1533-position model. The record is from RNAcentral.
GCAAGUCGCACGAGAACUCUUCUGCUUGCAGAAGAUAGUAAAGUGGCGCACGGGUGAGUAACGCGUGGGUAAUCUACCUCCGAAUUGGGGAUAACAUUGCGAAAGCGAUGCUAAUACCGAAUAAUAUCCUUAUAACUUAGGUUAUUAGGAUCAAAGGUGGCCUCUACAUGUAAGCUACUGUUUGGAGAUGAGCCCGCGUACCAUUAGCUUGUUGGUAGGGUAAUGGCUUACCAAGGCAACGAUGGUUAGCUGGUCUGAGAGGAUGAUC